This 26-nucleotide ribosomal RNA is filed under the name Trichophyton violaceum. RNAcentral describes it as "partial 28S ribosomal RNA". Lineage: Eukaryota; Fungi; Ascomycota; Eurotiomycetes; Onygenales; Arthrodermataceae. The record is from RNAcentral.
ACCUCGAUCAGUAUGUCCCGUUCCCC